GGGCGUGUGAGUGGUGUUUGGAUUGUCUCUGCCGGCUGGCUCCGUGCUCGUCCACCGAACGGUCGGCAGGCAAUCCCCGUCGGUUGGCGUGGGGUGGGAUGGUGCCCCAGAGGCUGGUUCUUGUGCCGCCUACCCCCUCAAGGGAAGCGAGGCCACUUGCACUUAGCCUCCGUCCGGCGCCUUCUAACGGGCGCGGGAGGACAGCGAAGCGCCCCCGUGUUCCACCGGGCCUUCUCCGGUCGCGUGGCCCA
Molecule: unclassified non-coding RNA, 251 nt
Filed under: Albizia lebbeck
Lineage: Eukaryota; Viridiplantae; Streptophyta; Magnoliopsida; Fabales; Fabaceae
Description: partial external transcribed spacer
Source: RNAcentral